Molecule: long non-coding RNA, 316 nt
Filed under: Erythranthe guttata (spotted monkey flower)
Lineage: Eukaryota; Viridiplantae; Streptophyta; Magnoliopsida; Lamiales; Phrymaceae
Description: long non-coding RNA (EGUT_LNC002764)
Source: RNAcentral
GGGCUUCGAAAAUCAGCCUUAGGGGCGGAUUUGAGGGAAGUUACGGAGCGGUUGAGGCCUGAAAAUGCAUGAAAACUGCCCCUUAUUACUUGUAAUAGUUAGCCAAGUGUCAUGUUUGUAUGCUGCCAUGUGUCCUUAGGUAGUUUUGUGUGAAAACUACCUUUUCCUUGUAUUUAUUGGGCUAUGAGUGCACAAAUCCGAGGCAUCUAGUAUCAUCUAGCAUAUGAGAGUUCAGAUUGCAAUUGUUGGGCAAUUCUGAGUGAGGAUUUUGUGUGUGCACCUUAGUCUCCUUUGUAUUCAUUGUGGGAAUUAAUAU